RNAcentral lists this ribosomal RNA (351 nucleotides) under Triticum aestivum (bread wheat). Its description in RNAcentral is "partial small subunit ribosomal RNA". The record is from RNAcentral. Lineage: Eukaryota; Viridiplantae; Streptophyta; Magnoliopsida; Poales; Poaceae.
AUGUCAGCCAGGCUUUGCCGUGAAGCUUUUCCGUCGGGCAUUGCCUCCUACGCAAGGAUGGCAUUUACUCUCUCUCACACACGCGCGCGCGCUUACAUGUGUGUGCUUCAAGCAAACAAACCUGCUGCCUCCCUCCCUAGCUUAGCUAUAGUGAUUACCCUGAUCAUGCGUGUAUGCAAUUACCAUGGAUGGAUCGGCAUCGGCAUCGGCGUCGGCCACACGCAGGAACAUGGCUUAUCUUUAAAUUUAACCAGCCGAUUGGAUCCGGACGUAGUGAUAGUGCUACUAGUUGUAACCGCUGGGGUGUGUGCUCAGCUGUGUUCCGUUUCUUACUUAUCCUUCACGGGAUAA